UAUUUUAAAGUAAAUAACCUCCUUAAUAUCUUCAAUAUCAUGCUCUAAUAAGCUAUUAAAAU
This 62-nucleotide transfer RNA is filed under the name Dictyopterini sp. UPOL ZL2013. Its description in RNAcentral is "tRNA-Phe". The record is from RNAcentral. Lineage: Eukaryota; Metazoa; Arthropoda; Insecta; Coleoptera; Lycidae.